GCUGGCUUGAAGCUGCCAGCAUUCAUUUCAUUCCACAGCUUGGGCCGUGGCAUGGCGGCCUCACCUCAGCAGCUGCUGUAGAUAGACUUCAUUUUCAGAACACAGCUUCCUGCUUUGCAUACUCUCCUCCAGAGGUGGGAGUAUGGAGACUCCUAGCACAGGUUCUUUUCUGUCUCUGACAUAGGAGGGAUAGACCAAGAGGGAGUAAGCCCGGUUCAGGAAAAGCAGGUGAUUCAUCGAGUCCCCUGGGAAACGCAUUGUAGGCACUUCAUGCCGGGACAGCUAAAGCCAAGUUUACAGCAGAGCCUGGCACAGUACCCGAACCACAAGGAGAUAGCAGCUACUGUGAUUGGACACGUUCAAGGUCUGGAGAAGGGAAGAGUGACGAGACCCUCCCCACACCAAGCUUUCUCCAUCUCCAAAGCCUAUGUCACCUCUGUCUUC
RNAcentral lists this long non-coding RNA (444 nucleotides) under Mus musculus (house mouse). RNAcentral's name for it is "t-complex-associated testis expressed 2". The record is from RNAcentral. Lineage: Eukaryota; Metazoa; Chordata; Mammalia; Rodentia; Muridae.